Molecule: ribosomal RNA, 557 nt
Filed under: Amanita eriophora
Lineage: Eukaryota; Fungi; Basidiomycota; Agaricomycetes; Agaricales; Amanitaceae
Description: SSU rRNA
Rfam family: Bacterial small subunit ribosomal RNA
Source: RNAcentral
AAGAGUGAACUAGCUAACUGAAAUCACAUAAAAUAUAAAUGUAUUAAUUGUGAUAAGGUAAGGGAAAAAAUUGAUGUUACCUUACUAUUAGUGUUGUCCAAAACUGGUGCCAGAAGACUCGGUAAGACCAGAAACGCAAACGUUAAUCGUCCUAAUCAGGCGUAAAGGGUUUGUAGGCUGCUUUUACUAUUUAUAUUUAGAAUAGCUCUGAUAAAAUCAGUUAAAUAUUAAUAAAAAUAAAGCUAGAAUCAAAUUGAGGAUAAGCCGAAUAAUACUUAGAGUAGGGAUGAUAUCCAUAGAUACUAAGGGGAAUACUAAAGGUGAAAGCUUUUAUCUACUAUUGAUUGACGCUGAGAAACGAAGGUGAGAAUAGGAAAUAGGAUUAGAUACCCAGAUACCUCUCACUGUCAACGAUGAAUGGUGGUUUGUUAGUUUUAAUAAAAACUGAUAACGAUGUUAACGCGAUAACCAUUCCGCCUUGCGAGUACGGUUGCAAAACUGAAACCAAAAAAAUUAGUCGGUCUCGAAGCAAACGAAGUGGAGCAUGUUAUUUAAUU